GCUGGGCUGCGCGGCGCGCGGGAGAAAGUGGGCCGAGGCGGCUGCUGGGCCGGCUCGGGCCUGAGGUAAGGUAAGUUUUCUUUUCUUUUUCCUUUUCCUUUUCUAUUUUCUCUUUUGCAAAUAGUCUUUGAUUCAAAAUUCAAAUACCAUUUUGAAUAGCCGAGAAGUAGGAGAAAUCAAAUAUGGCACUAAUAUUUGGGAGUAUUCAAAUGGGAUAAAGGUUUUAAAAACAAAUCCCAUUUGAAUAUCUUUUGUAAAAUAUAGG
RNAcentral lists this long non-coding RNA (265 nucleotides) under Brachypodium distachyon (stiff brome). RNAcentral describes it as "long non-coding RNA (BDIS_LNC001855)". The record is from RNAcentral. Lineage: Eukaryota; Viridiplantae; Streptophyta; Magnoliopsida; Poales; Poaceae.